Molecule: ribosomal RNA, 253 nt
Filed under: uncultured bacterium
Lineage: Bacteria
Description: partial 16S ribosomal RNA
Rfam family: Bacterial small subunit ribosomal RNA
Source: RNAcentral
UACGUAGGGCGCAAGCGUUGUCCGGAAUUAUUGGGCGUAAAGAGCUCGUAGGCGGCUUGUCACGUCGAUUGUGAAAGCCCGAGGCUUAACCUCGGGUCUGCAGUCGAUACGGGCUAGCUAGAGUGUGGUAGGGGAGAUCGGAAUUCCUGGUGUAGCGGUGAAAUGCGCAGAUAUCAGGAGGAACACCGGUGGCGAAGGCGGAUCUCUGGGCCAUUACUGACGCUGAGAAGCGAAAGCGUGGGGAGCGAACAGG